GAGGGUAUAGCUCAGUGGUAGAGCACGUGUUUAGCAUGCUCGAGGUCCUGAGUUCAAUCCCCAGUACCUCCA
This is a transfer RNA of Camelus ferus (Wild Bactrian camel), 72 nucleotides long. It matches the Rfam family "tRNA". Rfam says of the family: Transfer RNA (tRNA) molecules are approximately 80 nucleotides in length. Their secondary structure includes four short double-helical elements and three loops (D, anti-codon, and T loops). The record is from Rfam. NCBI's taxonomy places the organism in Eukaryota, Metazoa, Chordata, Mammalia, Artiodactyla, Camelidae.